This 255-nucleotide ribosomal RNA is filed under the name uncultured bacterium. RNAcentral's name for it is "partial 16S ribosomal RNA". It matches the Rfam family "Bacterial small subunit ribosomal RNA", at positions 524 to 776 of the family's 1533-position model. The record is from RNAcentral.
UACGUAGGGGGCAAGCGUUGUCCGGAGUUAUUGGGCGUAAAGCGCGCGCAGGCGGUCCACAACGGUCGCAAGUGACAGUUCCCAGCUUACCUGGGAAAGGCCUUAGCGAGACCGGUGGACUUGAGGGACUCAGAGGGAGACGGAAUUCCAGGUGGAGCGGUGAAAUGCGUAGAGAUCUGGAGGAACACCAAUGGCGUAGGCAGUCUCCUGGGAGUCUCCUGACGCUCAGGCGCGAAAGCCAGGGGAGCGAACGGG